RNAcentral lists this ribosomal RNA (241 nucleotides) under uncultured bacterium. RNAcentral's name for it is "partial 16S ribosomal RNA". It matches the Rfam family "Bacterial small subunit ribosomal RNA", at positions 116 to 353 of the family's 1533-position model. The record is from RNAcentral.
CGUGGGUAACCUGCCUUAUAGUGGGGGAUAGCCUUUCGAAAGGAAGAUUAAUACCGCAUAAGAUCGUAGUAUCGCAUGAUAUAGCAAUUAAAGGAGCAAUUCGCUAUAAGAUGGACCCGCGUCGCAUUAGCUAGUUGGUGAGGUAAUGGCUCACCAAGGCGACGAUGCGUAGCCGACCUGAGAGGGUGAUCGGCCACAUUGGGACUGAGACACGGCCCAGACUCCUACGGGAGGCAGCAUG